GGUAUUCAACCCGUGUUCCGACCACACAUGGAGCACGGGCUCGCCUCCUCUCCUUCUCGCCCCUGGAAGUACUCGCCACUGCCAGCACCCAUGCCGCCCGCUUCCGGUGAGCUCCGGUGCUGCGCAGUACGCCCCUGAGCUCCCCACCGUCUGCGCCUCCCUCUCCUCCUUCUAGAUUCUCCGCUCCCGACCUCUACUGCCCGCUUGCAACCCCACCCCCAUGGCUAGGGUUUCUGCCAGGGCUUCACCGACACGUCUCUGGCAGCCCCAGGUUCGUCUCCUUCCUUUCGGUCAAGUCUUGGUGGAGGUGGGGCGGCGACUUGGUUGUGGAAGAAGGGAGCACGGGGCGGCGUCAAGUGGGUGGAGCAUGUGCUUUGCUGCGAGGGUGGAAGAAAAGGGUGGCGGAUACGGUUUCAUCGUGUAGGCGGAGGAGAAGGAUGGCCGUGCGACCCUAUCAUCCUCUGGGUGGUGGUCAUCGUGCUCCAUGUGGAGACUAGGUGGAGCACAGACAACUAUUGUGGCUGAAGGUGCUGGGGCUGACGAGCUCCUGCCCCUACUGUAUGUGGAUUGGGAUGGAUGUGCACUGGGGUGAUUUGGGGAUCUGGUUGCUAAUGCUGCGAUAAAUCGUUGUUCUGAUUUUGGGUGAUCUUGGGCCGCUCGUUGUACCUUAUCUCUUGUGGUCGGCCACGCAGCCACUAUUCCCAAUGGCCGUGUCGCUGUUAUCUGCUGCACAUCUUUAUAUGGAUGUAGCCUACGAAGAAUAGGAACAAUCACUAUAGAGCCUGAAGAUUGUUUGUAUUUCUUUCAUUGUCUUUCACCGAUCUAUCAUUAUUUGAUUGGUCCAUGUAGAUUUAGAUAACAUGAGAUGAGCCGAUGAUACGUACUACUAUCUGAAGACACGAUUAUCUACUACAGAAUUGUUGAUGUAUUUGUGCUGACAGGUUUUGCGAGUACUUGAAACACAUUCAUUAGAGGAACUGGAGUUAAUUCUGACCAGGUUCUUGGGGCAAUCUGAAAGAGAACUUGGUGAUUUCAAGUAAUUCUAAGAGAAUAGGCCUUAUCCUUAUUUUUGAAUAAUGGUAAGAGCAUAGAUCUCAUCGACCAGGAAUUAAUCCAUCAGGCAAGCAGAAGACUGAACAAAACAGUACCUGCACAUAUUUUUUCCAAGAUGAUUAAUAUUGUUUUCUUUACUGUAAGGAACCAGCUUAUUAAGGCCUUUAUGCAUUGAACAAACUACCAAGAUUUUGUAUCUUUCUGUAUGAUUCAUAUUGCAUAGACACAUGAGUAGCGAUGGGAUACUAUUUGGUAUGAACAACAUCAUCAUCUUGUAAUUCUAACAUGUAUGCACUUAACUUAUUUAUGCACAUAAUAGUGAUGCGUCUUACGUAUCUGUCUAUUGUAUCUGAAUCUUCAAUGCAAUUAACUGCUUAAUUUGCCUUCAACGGGAUUGAGUGAUCUGGCAUAUAAGCUUAGCUCAGUGGUUCAGGUUAUCACUGUUAGUUUUCUGGUCGUGUAAGUUUUUAGACUUCUUGAGGUAGCUCAACCAAUAUGGCAUAAAGCUAUGAAGGGAUUUUGCUUGGAAAGAUUACUGAAAGGAUAACUUAACUUCAUUUUAUCCCCUAGAUUAGUAUAAGUAUAUAUUAGGCCCUCAUUUAUUUAGAUGUAUACCUUGCAUGGCAGUCUUGUUUAAACAGAUUUUUGGGGCAUUAAGCAAUUCAUACUCUGCUCACCAUUAUUCCCAUGUGUGUUGUUAGCCAAGCACUUGCUUUUCAAUAUAUCCUUUCCGAUGUUAGGCUGGGCUGCGCGAUUCUUCAGUGGCUGCUCAAUACAGUUGUGGUGAUCCGGGCGACGAGGAUAUUAGGGACAUCGGCCCGGCGGAGUAUGGUGCGUCAGCUAUGAAGCCAGAUCCGCAGGCACCAGGGACCAGGGUGGAUCAAGAGGUCGCUGAUUUGGGUUUUGCUUUAUCGCGGAGUUCUUGUGGGAGCGAAUCCGACAGAGCGAACCCUAUGCCUCGUUAGCAUGGGUACUCUUGAGAAGUCCAUAAGGGUUUUCGCAGAGGCAUACGACUUUUACAACCUGUAUUAGUGGGAAAAUGGGUUUAGUAUCAGGCAUGGGAAGAGCCGAUUGAAUCCUCACAAGCGGAAGACCAUGCAGGAGACUGUUUGUGGUUGCUCAGUAAGUAUAUCAAAUGAAAAUUCAGUUCUCCCUCAUAUUUGCGCUGGAUGAAGGGUCUGGUCUGAUGGUAAAACAUCCGUUGGAGAAGGGGGAUGCUUUGCGUGAGAAUACAAGGUCACGCCGAUGUGAGUGUCCUGCGAUAAUAAGGCUGCUACGGACAUUAGAUAAUGGGGGGUACAUAACGGAGCACCGGGUAGAGCAUAACAAUGUUAUGACGCCGGGAGAGAUGUUGCACUGGCCAUCGCACAAACACAUUGAUGUGUACAUGGGGGGCUUGGUGCGGGACUGAUCUAAUUGAGCGAAGCAAGAUUGGACACAUGGGGCAAUGGGGCUACGGGAAUCAUCCAUGGCCGCGCAUUACAGUGGCGGCAGGCCGGAUAACAAUGGCAGUAGGGACAGUGCCUCACGAAGUCCGAGGAGUCUGCAAUGAACCAGAUUCGUGAGCACCCGAUAGACUAAGAGGUAUCAGAUAACUUAGUAGAAACUGUGUUUUGGCUAACAAUACUGAGGUUAGGGUGUGUCUUCACAGGAAGGAAAUUGAAAAAUUCAGUGCCAGAUUUAAACCGUCGGGUGGGGGAAGGUGCUACAAUGAAAUUCAGUGUUGUUAGGUGCCCGUCUAACUGGCUAAUUUGAAAAGGUUGUAGAGUUAGGAGUGGCUGUCAUUUGUGAAUUUUGUUCGGAAAAAUCAAGGAUGCAUUGUGGGGUGUGGGAAAACAAAUCAUUUUUAUUUCAUGUAAUUUAUGUCCCCAAACCAUACCAUGGUAGCAAUAAUUUAAGAACUAUAGGAAAAUGAGAGUUGACUUGGAAUUCUGAAAUGUAUCAAUGACGAUCCUGUGAUUAUCAGAUUAUUAAUGUA
Molecule: long non-coding RNA, 3031 nt
Organism: Triticum aestivum (bread wheat)
Lineage: Eukaryota; Viridiplantae; Streptophyta; Magnoliopsida; Poales; Poaceae
Exons: 2
Source: RefSeq, a predicted model, not a curated record